RNAcentral lists this small RNA (134 nucleotides) under Chromatiaceae bacterium. RNAcentral describes it as "RtT sRNA". It matches the Rfam family "RtT RNA". Rfam says of the family: This family represents a bacterial cis-regulatory element known as RtT RNA. The exact function of RtT is unknown although it is thought that it may be involved in changing the cellular response in relation to amino acid starvation. Lineage: Bacteria; Pseudomonadati; Pseudomonadota; Gammaproteobacteria; Chromatiales; Chromatiaceae. The record is from RNAcentral.
CCAAUGCCGCAUUGCGGUAGGGGGCGGACCGAUAAAGGUUCGACGAAGGCGCGUAGCGCCGAAGAACGUCGCGCCUUGGCGCGGCGGCCCGCAGGGCGAGGGCUUUAGCCCGAGUACCCCUACCGCCCCAGCCA